RNAcentral lists this ribosomal RNA (266 nucleotides) under uncultured bacterium. Its description in RNAcentral is "partial 16S ribosomal RNA". It matches the Rfam family "Bacterial small subunit ribosomal RNA", at positions 793 to 1055 of the family's 1533-position model. The record is from RNAcentral.
GUCCACGCCCUAAACUAUGUCAACUGGUUGUUGGGGGUUUGACACUCUCAGUAACGAAGCUAACGCGUGAAGUUGACCGCCUGGGGGAGUACGGCCGCAAGGUUAAAACUCAAAGGAAUUGACGGGGACCCGCACAAGCGGUGGAUUAUGUGGAUUAAUUCGAUGCAACGCGAAAAACCUUACCUACCCUUGACAUGUCCUGAAGCCUGGAGAGAUCCGGGUGUGCCCGAAAGGGAACGGGAACACAGGUGCUGCAUGGCUGUCGU